GGUUAGUUACAUAAAGGGAAGGUUUUAGCACCCUUUAUUUCCGUAGUACUCUACGUGAACCUCUUGUUUUUAUUUAAUUAAUGUGCUAUAACUUGCUUGCUUAUUUUUGAAAAGAAGGAAUUAAAUUGAAAAAAUAAAGACCUAAUUAUCUACAUUUUUUAUUGAUUUGGAAGGACAUGGUCCUCUGCCUACGUACCCGUGAGGGAUCAAAACCUCGUAAUUCGGGGUAGAAAUUGACGUCUGAUUGGUUUUUAUGUUUUUUAUUAGUUUUGAAAAAGGUUUUAAAAUGAAAAGCCAAGUGGCAAAUAAGUGUUUGUUUGUGUUUUUUAAUAUUGAAAAAAGAGACUUUAAGUAAAGUUAAAUUGAUUGAAGUUUGAUUAAGAAAAGAAAAUAAAAAUGCGGUCACUUGAUUUGGAUCAAGGUUUAUUAUGAAAAUAUUUUUGUGAUUUUGAUUAUUUGCAUGUUUUUUGUUGUUUUUUGUAAUAUUAAAUAAAAAUUAAACUAAUGGAGCAAUAAAAAUAAAAGCGCGUGGAUUUUUGUAGUGACGUUGGAUCACCACAAAAUCCCUAAUCUAAUUUUUUUUGCAUUUUUGGAUAUAUCUAAGGCGGUAAAGAAAUAAAAGGACACACACCCACACACUUUUCUCAUUUAUAUUUACAUUGGACCUAAAUACAUUCUAAUUGCUGGAAAAUAAAUAACAAUAAUUAAAAUGCUAAAUAGAAAUAAAAAAAAUGCAAAAAUGCUAAAAAGAAAUAAAAUGCAAGAAAAUAAAAGAAAUUGACAACUGUAGGGGCAAAAAUUACCGAAGGGACUUUUUCGAAGAGACUUAUUCCGAAGGGACAGAAAAAAGAGGGAGAAGAAAAGAAUAGCUCGUCAACACAAGCUAAAGAGGGAGAAGAGAGAAAAGUUCUUUUACAACUCAAGAGAACUUUUGGUGUGUGAAAUUGUGUGGAAUGAGGGCUCUAUUUAUAGGUGAGGAGUUUGAUGAAAAAAGGAAAAUUGGUUUAAUGGGAAUGAUGGAUAAUUAUGUGAAUUUUGAAAAAGGAAUGUUAAAGUUGACACUUUGAUUUGAAUUUUUUUUUUAGACCUUGGGCAUUUUAUUUUUGGACCUAUUAACACUUUGUUUUUUUUGGACACUAAUUAAUUAAAAAGAAAUAAAAUAAAAAUAAAAUAAAUCUAAUACAAAAUAAAAAUAAAAACAAAUUAAACUAAAUUAUGUAAAAAUUAAAAUUAAUAAAAGAUGGAAAGAAAAUAAAAAAGAGAAAAGAGGGUCCGACUCGAAAUCAAAAAAUGAGGUAUUUUAAAAUAUAUACCUCCCUGCCGAAUUUUUUUUACUGAAAAAUCAGAGAUCGAUCAGAGUCGAGUGACAUGUGUCAGUGGGGCCUUAGGUCAAAAAUUGGGGUAUGACAAUAACAUUCGGCCUAACAAUUGUGACAUUUUAUCAGUUGAGCUUGACUUCUGGAUAAAAAUAUAUUAACCACGUAAAAGUUCUAAUAUUUCAACUUUAUCUCAUAUACUAGUACACAAUUUGAUCCCUUAUUAUUGUUUACGAAAAGAUUUACAUUUAAAGAGGUCAACCUUACGUAAAGAUCAUCACAAUAAUUUUGAGGGAUAAGUUAUUUUUGCAGUUGCACGUAAAGUUUGCCAGAAAAAGUACUAAACAUGUAUAUAUACAUCACAAUUGAAACAAAACUCUUAAUUAACAUAAUUAUUAGAUUUGCUAUCAUAUGAUCAGAAAAUUAUGUGUGAUAUUGUGAAAAAUAAGAUAGCAAUAUGUUACCGAUAACAAUUUAGUAAAUGUAUCAAUAGAGAUUGUGGAUUAUUUAUUUUAUUUUAUUCAUAAUAGGUUUCAUCUUUUUUUUUAACAAGGUAAAAUGGAAUAUAUUAUAUCACAAAGAGUGAUUCAUCUCGCAUAAGGUGUACAAAGGAGAACCAUCCAUCAAAAAACAAUGUUAAUAGUCUGGUGCUAUAAAGCAGCACUCCGGAAGAAAGACAAAACAAAACAAUGCUACACUAUAACACCCAUAUAUGGUAAAGGAUGCCGCCACCGGUCGUUGUAACGGAAGGCAAAGGUAGACAUGUUAGCCUUUAGCCAAGAAAAAGACAUAAAUUUAGGAGAGUCUACUAAAUGAUCCAAAGUGUCAGUCCUCUGGUUAAAAAUCAUGUGGUUUCUUUCCUUCCAAAUAACCCAGAUAAUAGCCAUCCAAAUUACCGUCAGAAAAGAGUGUGUAGAUCGCGAUAGCCCCGCCAAAUGGCCAAACUGAUGAAGAUGCUCGCUAACGGAUGUUGGAGCAAUAAAAGAGAUACCUAGCCACUGAUAAAUGUAGUGCCACACCAUACCGAAAUGAUCACAGCGAAAGAGAAGAUGAUCUGAUGUCUCGAAGGAACCGCACCCACCAAUGCAUGAAUUGUCGUCUGAAGGAAUGAUGCGCCUAAGGUUGUCUUUAGUUGGAAUGCGAUUGCGGAGUAGACGCCAAGCAAAAAUAGAAACCUUAAGCGGAACUUGCUUCCUCCACAAAUCGUCAAACAGGCCACGCUCCGGAAGGUCACCUGACGUCGUGAGAUAAGUAUAAGUGCCCUUGACAGAAUAGCCAUAAUAGGUUUCAUCAUGAAAGUUUCAUCUAAUCUUAGGAGUUAUUUGAAUAAAUUGUGGAUUUGUAGUUAUUUAAUCAAUUAGGUCCAUGUUAUUCUUAGUUAUUCGAGUCAAACUAUAAAAACAACUCUUGUUGUUUAUUAUGGUUCAAUUGUUCAACCAACUAAGCAGGGUGAGAAGUAUUACAAAAAUUAUGGAUUUGUUGGUGCUUAGCUAAUGAUUGAAGAAUUCAAAUUGGCUCUUGUUUAGGAGAAAUUCUUGUGUAGGAACGAAACUAACUAUCAUUCUUACAAACAACAAAUUAAAACAUGACACGUCGUUUUAUUUUCUUUUAACCAUGAUUGGUGGUGGUGAAUACUAACUGCAAAUAAUGGUUGAGAGAGAGGAGGAGCAGUUAUUUUUCAUUUCUUAAAUUAUUUCAAAAUUAUUUUAAAAUAAAACAAUGACGUAUCAUAUUUUAAUUUGUUGUUUGUAAGAAUGAUAUGUUAGGUUUGUCCCUACACAAAAAUUUCUCCUUGUUUAGUUUGUAUCAUCUGGAAAGGUAUUCAACUUUUCUGGUAAUGAAGUGAAAAUUUUGUUGAUGACGUCUUCUUAGUUGGGCAACGUGAUUCUUAGACUGGCUACUAAAAUGAAUUCAAGAAAAAUUAUUAUAUUUUAAGAGGCAUAUUUGAGGAGCUAAAAUUCAAAGAUUCAUCCAUGAGAACAAGCAAUUGAAGAUUCAUUGGAUUCCUCCAAGUACAAUUUCAUAUUUUCCGCGUUGUUUAAUUUCAUGAACAGGAUUAUAUGAAUCUAUUUGAAACAAUUGUGUGAAUAAAAUUUGUAGUACUUUUACUUAUACCUUUAAAAAUUAAAACACAUGUUAAAAAACUAAAAAUAAUGCAAUUGAUCUCAAAUAGGGGUGGAUAUAGGGCAGACCAGACCAAAUUUUGAUAGGUCUGAGCUUGACUUACGAAAAAAUUUACAAGCCUAAGUCUGAUCUAUGACCUAUUAUAGGCCGUUUUCUUGGUCUGGUCUAUUUAAAAGUCUGAACUGACCUGAAAGCCUUUUUUCAGGCUUAUUUUACAUUAAGGCCGUCAAAUAGUCAUUUUGCCUGUUAAAUUGGCUAAACAAGCCUUAAAGCCUACUUAAAAGCUAUUUCACUACAAGUAAAUUUUAACUAGAUUAAAACCUACUUAAAAGCUGAUAACAACAAAGUCUAUUAAUUGACUAAUGGAUAGAAAGAAAAAAAAAAAGGUGUUUAUAUUUUUAAUGUAUGCAAUUAUUUUAAUAUAAAUAAAUAUUUUUUAAUAAAUAGGUAUCAAUAGGCCGACGUAUUAGGUUUAACAGACUUUUCUGAAAGCCGGCCUAGUCUAUUUAACUAAACAAGCUCUCUAAAAAGCUUAAGUCUAAACCUAUCUACUAAAUAGAUCAGGUCAGAUCAGACCAAAAUAGACCAGACUGUAGACCCAUGUAGGCAAGUCUGACACUCAAACAAAAAAAAUCUCAAAUUAUUCAUACAUAAUGCAAUUGUUAGUCCAACAUAUGACUGGCACACUAUUAACUAUAGCAUAACUAACAAAACGGAAACUUAAAACCGUUUUUCUAAUCAACUAACUUACAUAUGAUAAAUCUAACAUGUGUCUUUACAUAACAAAAUGAACUUAGUUUUGGUAUUUCAUUUGAGCUACCAAAAUUUGACAAGUGUUAAAGGGUGUAGUGCAUGCAUGGCAUUGAAGUUGGAGGUGUCCUCUAGCCUUCAUUCGCAUACACGUGAUCAGCAUCCUUAACCCAUGAAUCGAGGUUCAGUUCAGAGGACACAACAAAGAAGCCCCAUUGAUCAUCCAUAACGUGUCGCUUUACUACAGUUCAACGUGUGACUGACCAAUGACUAAGUUCAACAUGCAUGAAUCCUCUCCUCAAUCCUCAUGCAGUAGAAGGACAAAAACACCCCUACAUAAGAUAAUGCUACCUGGGCCAGGGAAGAACAGGGUAUUGAUGAAAUGGGACCCAACCAAAACCCAUGAGCAACUGAUUGGGACAUAAAGUAUGAGAGGAAAAAACAAGCCAGGAAAAACAAAGAAAGAAUGCAACCUAAUUGAAAUGUCAUAACGUGAGUGGGUUGUUGGAUUACAAUUGGAUGAGUCAUGAAUGAAAAUGUCGAUAAGCCAGCCACCUAUAUUUCCUCGAAACCCCCCCUCCUUUAUUCAAUCUCACACAAUAAUGGUGCACUACGGACAAAAAAUAUUAACAAUUAAAAACAUUUUAUCUUGUAUGCUAAUAGAUUCACGACAAAAUUGGACCAAAAUAUUUUGAGAGUUACUUAGUUAAUUUGCAAUAAUGAUAGGUAAACACUUCACUUUUUAACAAAAUAAAUUGUUAUAAGAACUAGAUUGAUGCCGCACAGGUCGUUUGAGCUGAAAUAUAUUUGUUAAUAGCUGCAAUAUAUUUGCCAAUAAGAUACUUGAAAAGAAAUUUGAUAAUAAUAUAUCGUCAAUUGAUAAUAAUAUAUCAUUAAUUAAAUGCAACACCAAGAAUUAUUGAAGUUUGAUAAUCAUCUACAUGAUGCCGUUAAAAAAAAAAAAGAUAACCACCUGCAUGAUAGUUUUUUACAUUACGCAUUACGACAUAAUACUAAAAGCCCCGGAUACAAAACAACACCAAUGUAAAUACACCAAACAACCAAAACCUUACUCUUCACUCCACAAAUCAAAAACAACUUUGGUACAAUAGAAAACAAAUCAACUCUACAAAUUAAGGAUGCAUUUGUCGCAAUAGAAAAAUUGAAAAGAGAGUUAUGAUAACAUAAUAUAAAAUCAUGAUAAACCACCUAAAUGAUUGUUUUUAAAAGCAUAUUUGAUUGCAAUAGAUUUUUAAUUUUAAUUUGAUGUUAUUGAAUGACAUAUGGCAGUAUGACAAAACAAUGGUUCAUGCUGCAGCCGAUGUUCUGUUCAUUUUUUGGUUUGGAAAUUGAACAAAAAUCAAUUUUAUGUGAUAGACAAUUCUAUCAAAAAAAAUGUGAUAGAUAUUUAAACCAUUGAGCCCUGGGUUGGAUUACAAUUUUCAAAAUUGGAGUCACACAAUCAUGGAUAAUUUGAAAUUCAAAAUGCAAAGAAUUUAAAAUGUUAAUGUAUCACGGUUAACAACAUACUUUAGUUAAUGCCACCGAAUUAAUAAGGUUUGAUUCCAAAAAAAAAAAAUCGAAAUUCAAAUUGGCAAGAAUUUGGGAGGGAAACAUAUUAGGGUUAACAUGCUUAGGAGUUAAUGCAACACAAUUAGAGGAAAAUUAUUAGGUUUAGGUGUUGCUUAACCUAAUAACUUUUAAGAAUAAGGGAUAAUGACAUGUGAACAUAUCCAAUUCUCAUUAUAUCAUUAACAAAUCAUAUCUAUUAUACAAUUUACUCAUUUUCUUUUUCUAAGGAUAAUUCACUCUUUUUAUUUCUCUCUAAAAGUGUCAAUCAAGUUUUGAGUGUCUAUCACAUAUUUUCCUUUAAUAAAGAUCAACCAGCACACAAUCAAAGUCACAACUAACAAGGAUUCAAUUUCUACCAUUGAAGUGAAUUUAGAACUUUUCAUAUAAAAAGUUUCUUAAAAUCACUCUAGCUUUUCCGUAUUAAAGUCACUAAAUAUCGAUCUUAUAUAUAAAACUAAAAUAGAUUGAUGGGGUGUGCCUAUUUAACCCAUUAAGAUUAAGAUGUAGGUUUUCACUUUAUUUAUACAAGUGUUUUUUAGGUGAUUAUACAACUGUUAUUUAUGUAAAGUGACUAAGAAUUAAUUUAAUUUAUAUCAACAAAUCUCAUUUGUAAAGCCGCCAGCAUUAUUGAGCUAUUGAAUAAAAAAGCCACUUAAAUAGUUCUGAUUUCUCCUAUAAAUACCUCAUUACUCUUAUCAACUCAUAUCAUAUCACAAGUUUCUUGCAACUUUAUAAGCGAAAAAAGAAAAGACUCAAAGAAUAUAAGACAAAAGCAAAGAUGAGUUAUUUGAACCGUGUUUGGAUGGCAGCAACAGUGGCGGUGGCACAAGGCCACACUGAUCCAAUCUAUAAGUGCAAAACAGCUCUUGGAACUAUUCACCAAAACCGAACUCGUCUCUUCUCUGCGGGCGGUGCUUUGUCGGCACUCUUGCCACUGUCCAGCGUCGUUGUAUCGGACGCAACCGUGAGUUCUAAGGUUGAAGAGAAGCUGAGACAAACCGAUGAUUCUCUCCAGAAAGUUAUGUACAUGAAUUGUUGGGGUCAAGGCUAAAGAAUAAUACCUAGACACUGAUAGCUUUGAUUAGAAGUGUUGGUCCUGCUUGUUGGAAACUAUUGGUGACAACGAGGCAAAAUUGAUUCAUCGGUGCAGAAUCAACCCUAUGUUUGAGUGAGGAUUGGAAAAGAGCAACAAUGGAAUUCUCGUGCUUAAAUUGAUAAGUCUAUCAGAACAAGAUCUUCUUCAUUCAACUAUGCAUGCAUGAGACUAAAGGGAAAUUUGUUCCAAUUGCAAAUUUUUCUUUUAGCAACCUGAAAACGAGUGUGCAAAGCCCGAGGUAACACAGAGAACUGCGGAUUUAGUGUCUGUAUUACCAAAACCGCGGAUAUUUAGGUUUGCUUCAAUCAAGAGUAAUGUUAUGAUCCAAUUAUCCAUAAUAAUAGCCCAAGGAAUAAUACAUUAAUGGCAAAAUUGGAUUUUGUUGAGCUGUUGAGGAAAAUAGAUAUUAAGGGAGCACAGAGAAGCAAGAGAGAAAUUUUCGAACUGAAAAUAAAUUUGUCGAUUAUGCAUAAUUAGGGCAAUGAUUCCCAAUAUUGGAGUGCAAAAAUGUAUAAUUGGAGCAAUGACCAUCGAUGAUUGGUGUGCAAAAUAUUUAUAAAUUUUUUUACUUUUAUUGGUAAUCUCUAGAUAAUCUCCAGCUAGCAGAGUAAUAGCCUCAAAAUCCUUGUACUUAAUUAGGGUUUCCUUUAAUUUCCUUGGUACUAUUUUUUGUUUUCCAUGAGUUGAUACUAUGUACUAUAAGUUUAAGUUGUACUAUUUCAAUUUUAGAGAGGUGCUAAAAACACUAUUCUCAACCCUUACUCUACCACUCUGGUUGAAAUUUCGAAAAGAGCUCCUAAUACGCCUCUUAAUACCUAAAUCAAUAUACGUACAGAUUUCAUAGAUCAUUUCAUGUGGUAACUAUUUAAUUAUACCUUGGAUAAUUCCUAAUAGCAUCUUAUGUUUAUUGGAUUAUCGUGACUUUGAUUAUAUAUUAAUUAAUUAAUUAAUAUAUAAAAGUGUUAGAC
This 7826-nucleotide long non-coding RNA is filed under the name Medicago truncatula (barrel medic). RNAcentral's name for it is "long non-coding RNA (MTRU_LNC008843)". The record is from RNAcentral. Lineage: Eukaryota; Viridiplantae; Streptophyta; Magnoliopsida; Fabales; Fabaceae.